ACGAACGCUGGCGGCGUGCUUAACACAUGCAAGUCGAACGGAAAGGCCCUGCUUUUGUGGGGUGCUCGAGUGGCGAACGGGUGAGUAACACGUGAGUAACCUGCCCUUGACUUUGGGAUAACUUCAGGAAACUGGGGCUAAUACCGGAUAGGAGCUCCUGCUGCAUGGUGGGGGUUGGAAAGUUUCGGCGGUUGGGGAUGGACUCGCGGCUUAUCAGCUUGUUGGUGGGGUAGUGGCUUACCAAGGCUUUGACGGGUAGCCGGCCUGAGAGGGUGACCGGCCACAUUGGGACCGAGAUACGGGCCAGACUCCUACGGGAGGCAGCAGUGGGGAAUAUUGCACAAUGGGCGGAAGCCUGAUGCAGCAACGCCGCGUGCGGGAUGACGGCCUUCGGGUUGUAAACCGCUUUCGCCUGUGACGAAGCGUGAGUGACGGUAAUGGGUAAAGAAGCACCGGCUAACUACGUG
This 467-nucleotide ribosomal RNA is filed under the name uncultured bacterium. Its description in RNAcentral is "partial 16S ribosomal RNA". It matches the Rfam family "Bacterial small subunit ribosomal RNA", at positions 29 to 507 of the family's 1533-position model. The record is from RNAcentral.